Molecule: ribosomal RNA, 223 nt
Filed under: uncultured bacterium
Lineage: Bacteria
Description: partial 16S ribosomal RNA
Rfam family: Bacterial small subunit ribosomal RNA
Source: RNAcentral
UACGUAGGCAGCAAGCGUUGUUCGGAAUUACUGGGCGUAAAGCGAGUGUAGGCGGUCUGCCAAGUCCUCUGUGAAAUCUCCCGGCUUAACUGGGAGGGUGCGGCGGAAACUGGCAGGCUUGAGUGCGGGAGAGGAGAGUGGAAUUCCUGGUGUAGCGGUGAAAUGCGUAGAUAUCAGGAGGAACACCGGUGGUGAAGACGGCUCUCUGGACCGCCACUGACGC